GGGCAUGGCGGCAGCUACACAUGCAGUCGUACGGUGAACAGCGCAAGCAGCUUGCUGCUUUGCUGACGAGUGGCGGACGGGUGAGUAAUGUCUGGGAAACUGCCUGAUGGAGGGGGAUAACUACUGGAAACGGUAGCUAAUACCGCAUAAUGUCGCAAGACCAAAGAGGGGGACCUUCGGGCCUCUUGCCAUCGGAUGUGCCCAGAUGGGAUUAGCUAGUAGGUGGGGUAACGGCUCACCUAGGCGACGAUCCCUAGCUGGUCUGAGAGGAUGACCAGCCACACUGGAACUGAGACACGGUCCAGACUCCUACGGGAGGCAGCAGUGGGGAAUAUUGCACAAUGGGCGCAAGCCUGAUGCAGCCAUGCCGCGUGUAUGAAGAAGGCCUUCGGGUUGUAAAGUACUUUCAGCGGGGAGGAAGGUGAUGAGGUUAAUAACCUCGUCAAUUGACGUUACCCGCAGAAGAAGCACCGGCUAACUCCGUGCCAGCAGCCGCGGUAAUACGGAGGGUGCAAGCGUUAAUCGGAAUUACUGGGCGUAAAGCGCACGCAGGCGGUCUGUCAAGUCGGAUGUGAAAUCCCCGGGCUCAACCUGGGAACUGCAUUCGAAACUGGCAGGCUAGAGUCUUGUAGAGGGGGGUAGAAUUCCAGGUGUAGCGGUGAAAUGCGUAGAGAUCUGGAGGAAUACCGGUGGCGAAGGCGGCCCCCUGGACAAAGACUGACGCUCAGGUGCGAAAGCGUGGGGAGCAAACAGGAUUAGAUACCCUGGUAGUCCACGCCGUAAACGAUGUCGACUUGGAGGUUGUGCCCUUGAGGCGUGGCUUCCGGAGCUAACGCGUUAAGUCGACCGCCUGGGGAGUACGGCCGCAAGGUUAAAACUCAAAUGAAUUGACGGGGGCCCGCACAAGCGGUGGAGCAUGUGGUUUAAUUCGAUGCAACGCGAAGAACCUUACCUACUCUUGACAUCCAGAGAACUUUCCAGAGAUGCAUUGGUGCCUUCGGGAACUCUGAAAACAGGUGCUGCAUGGCUGUCGUCCACCUCGUGUUGUGAAAUGUUGGGGUUAAGUCCCCGCAACGAAGGGCAACCCUUUAUCCUUUGUUUGCCAGCGGGUUAGGGCCGGGGAACUUCAAAGGGAAACUGGCCCGUGGAUAAACUGGAAGAAAAAGUGGGGGGUUAAACCUUCCCAUUUUCA
RNAcentral lists this ribosomal RNA (1192 nucleotides) under Escherichia coli. Its description in RNAcentral is "bacterial SSU rRNA". It matches the Rfam family "Bacterial small subunit ribosomal RNA", at positions 33 to 1203 of the family's 1533-position model. The record is from RNAcentral. Lineage: Bacteria; Pseudomonadati; Pseudomonadota; Gammaproteobacteria; Enterobacterales; Enterobacteriaceae.